Eriocheir sinensis (Chinese mitten crab) is the source of this 775-nucleotide long non-coding RNA. RefSeq lists it as uncharacterized. The record is from RefSeq and is a predicted model, not a curated record. Lineage: Eukaryota; Metazoa; Arthropoda; Malacostraca; Decapoda; Varunidae. The transcript is spliced from 3 exons.
GACUCAAGUAAACACUGAGUUGGGAGAAAUACCUCCUCGCAGAAAUAAGUCGCUCCGAUGUCAACUAUACUGGGAAUUCAUAGAAGAAAAAACUUAUCAAUUUGCCUGGUUUUGUUCUAGUUUGUCCACUUGUGAAGAUUGUGAUGGUUGACAUUGCCCGCAAGAAAAUAACACACCAGACCAAAAGACCAAACAGCUGGAACUGAGUAAACAUCAACGUGGGGUAAUUCUUAAAAAAAAAUAAAAAAAAAAAUCUUCCUUGUUCGUUUGUUAUAAAGUCAUCUCUUGGUUAAAAGUGUUGAUCUGAUGUUCGUGUCAUGUAUCAGAGCCGAAACAGGACAAGUAAAGGAUAGUAGUGAGUGAAAUAUAGAAAAAAUAAGCAAGUUGGGCCUCUCAGUGAAGUUGAAUGAGUGAACUAUUUUGCGGCUGCGAGCUGAUUCAUACAAAAAGGCGUCCGCGGGGGCGUGCGUGGAGGCCAGUGGCGGGCAUUAUAUUCGGUGCUUAUUGACUCAACACUGCAAUAUCCGCCACCAGCAGGCCUAUCAGGGUACAGUGAGGUCACGAGGACACCGAAGAUGCUAGAUAUAUCACCAACACGAAGUGGAACAACUAUUAACCCAACAGAAGCAACGCGAAAGAAAAUCCUACAACUUGGAGUUGCUGCCCAGGAAGCAAAGCUGCCGCAAAAAGGAUUCGCAAACGUAAAGGUACUGGGAAGGACUCUAGCCAAGCCCAUGUUCUCAUCCAUUCCGGGUCUUCCUUCACACCCAGACUC